This 701-nucleotide ribosomal RNA is filed under the name uncultured bacterium. Its description in RNAcentral is "bacterial SSU rRNA". It matches the Rfam family "Bacterial small subunit ribosomal RNA", at positions 89 to 782 of the family's 1533-position model. The record is from RNAcentral.
UGACGAGUGGCGGACGGGUGAGUAACGCGUAGGAAUCUACCGAGUAGUGGGGGACAACAGUUGGAAACGACUGCUAAUACCGCAUAAUCCCUGAGGGGGAAAGGAGGGGAUCUGUUUACAGACCUUUCGCUAUUUGAUGAGCCUGCGUGAGAUUAGCUAGUUGGUGAGGUAAUGGCUCACCAAGGCGACGAUCUCUAGCUGGUCUGAGAGGAUGAUCAGCCACACUGGAACUGAGACACGGUCCAGACUCCUACGGGAGGCAGCAGUGGGGAAUAUUGCACAAUGGGGGAAACCCUGAUGCAGCCAUGCCGCGUGUGUGAAGAAGGCCUUCGGGUUGUAAAGCACUUUCAGCGAGGAGGAAAGGAGUAUGUUUAAUAAACGUGCUCUGUGACGUUACUCGCAGAAGAAGCACCGGCUAACUACGUGCCAGCAGCCGCGGUAAUACGUAGGGUGCGAGCGUUAAUCGGAAUUACUGGGCGUAAAGGGUCCGCAGGUUGUUUUGUAAGUCAGAUGUGAAAUCCCCGGGCUUAACCUGGGAACUGCGUCUGAAACUACAAGGCUAGAGUAUGGCAGAGGGGGGUGGAAUUCCGCGUGUAGCAGUGAAAUGCGUAGAUAUGUGGAGGAACACCGAUGGCGAAGGCAGCCCCCUGGGUCAAUACUGACGCUGAGGGACGAAAGCAUGGGGAGCAAACAGGAUUAGC